This 354-nucleotide long non-coding RNA is filed under the name Panax ginseng (ginseng). Its description in RNAcentral is "long non-coding RNA (PGIN_LNC002655)". Lineage: Eukaryota; Viridiplantae; Streptophyta; Magnoliopsida; Apiales; Araliaceae. The record is from RNAcentral.
CUACAACCACCAUCCUACACAUGAAAUAAUAUAAAACAAGUAAAAAUGAACAUGAUCGCGAAGAUUUAGUAACAAAUAAGCAUGAAUUAGAUAUUAAAUCGCGUAUAUAAAAUAAACUUAUCAAAAUCCCCCAAAACCGUGCUAGUCCUCGAGCACCAAAACAACUACAUGCAAUGCAAUGAGAAGAAAUGAAUACUACCUAACUUAUAUACUUUCAAAUCCAACAAUAUCGUAGAGUCAAGAUUACUUAACGACCUCAGCGAAAAUAAGCAACUAUACAUUAUCAACCAUCAAAAACCAAUCUACAAUUACGCUUUAAUCCUCGAAUCUCAAGCCAUCAUCACUGGAACAGUG